GAUGAACGCUGGCGGCGUGCUUAACACAUGCAAGUCGAACGGGAUCCCAGGAGCUUGCUCCUGGGUGAGAGUGGCGAACGGGUGAGUAAUGCGUGACCGACCUGCCCCAUACACCGGAAUAGCUCCUGGAAACGGGUGGUAAUGCCGGAUGCUCCAGUUGGAUGCAUGUCCUUCUGGGAAAGAUUCAUCGGUAUGGGAUGGGGUCGCGUCCUAUCAGCUUGAUGGCGGGGUAACGGCCCACCAUGGCUUCGACGGGUAGCCGGCCUGAGAGGGCGACCGGCCACAUUGGGACUGAGAUACGGCCCAGACUCCUACGGGAGGCAGCAGUGGGGAAUAUUGCACAAUGGGCGCAAGCCUGGUGCAGCGACGCCGCGUGCGGGAUGACGGCCUUCGGGUUGUAAACCGCUUUUGACUGGGAGCAAGCCCUUCGGGGUGAGUGUACCUUUCGAAUAAGCACCGGCUA
This 463-nucleotide ribosomal RNA is filed under the name uncultured bacterium. RNAcentral's name for it is "bacterial SSU rRNA". It matches the Rfam family "Bacterial small subunit ribosomal RNA", at positions 28 to 499 of the family's 1533-position model. The record is from RNAcentral.